Punica granatum (pomegranate) is the source of this 162-nucleotide non-coding RNA. The record is from Rfam. NCBI's taxonomy places the organism in Eukaryota, Viridiplantae, Streptophyta, Magnoliopsida, Myrtales, Lythraceae.
CUGCACUUAUCUCGUAGGCCUCUCUAGUUUGAUAGUUUGGUCUUGAGCGAAAGGUGCACAAACUGAUAGCUGUUUAAUCAGCAGCGGCCAGACAACCGUAGAGUUGGAUCCACAGGUGAAUGGUUUAAAGUGCUACUUGCCUACUGAUUCCACCUCACAUUC